Molecule: ribosomal RNA, 468 nt
Filed under: uncultured bacterium
Lineage: Bacteria
Description: partial 16S ribosomal RNA
Rfam family: Bacterial small subunit ribosomal RNA
Source: RNAcentral
GACGAACGCUGGCGGCGUGCUUAACACAUGCAAGUCGAACGGAAAGGCCCUGCUUUUGUGGGGUGCUCGAGUGGCGAACGGGUGAGUAACACGUGAGUAACCUGCCCUUGACUUUGGGAUAACUUCAGGAAACUGGGGCUAAUACCGGAUAGGAGCUCCUGCUGCAUGGUGGGGGUUGGAAAGUUUCGGCGGUUGGGGAUGGACUCGCGGCUUAUCAGCUUGUUGGUGGGGUAGUGGCUUACCAAGGCUUUGACGGGUAGCCGGCCUGAGAGGGUGACCGGCCACAGUUGGACUGAGAUACGGCCCAGACGCAUACGGGAGGCAGCAGUGGGGAGUAUGGCACAAUGGGCGGAAGCCUGAUGCAGCCACGCCGCGUGCGGGAUGACGGCCUUCGGGUUGUAAACCGCUUUCGCCUGUGACGAAGCGUGAGUGACGAUAAUGUGUAAAGAAGCAACGGCUAACUACGUG